CCAUUAGAUGUUCUGGGCCGCACGCGUGCUACACUGAGUGGAUCAGCGGGUCAGGUUGCGCGAAAGUGUUUCCUAAUCUUUAAAUCCGCUCGUGAUGGGGAUUGACGGUUGCAAUUUUCCGUCAUGAACGAGGAAUACCUUGUAAGCGCGGGUCAUCAUCCCGCGCUGAAUACGUCCCUGCCCUUUGUACACACCGCCCGUCGCUCCUACCGAUUGAGUGGUCCGGUGAGGCUUUGGGAUCUGAGCGGAAAGAGCGUUUCGCUGUUUCUGCCCGGAAAACUCAGUCGAACCUUAUCAUUUAGAGGAAGGAGAAGUCGUAACA
Molecule: ribosomal RNA, 322 nt
Filed under: uncultured eukaryote
Lineage: Eukaryota
Description: partial 18S ribosomal RNA
Rfam family: Eukaryotic small subunit ribosomal RNA
Source: RNAcentral